AGUUGCAUGCAGGGUGAAGGCGGAAGUCCUGCUGAGACCUCGCAUACUGCACAACGCCGCGUUUGUUGAAGUUUAGCGCUUAACUCUACAGAACGGGAAUGGAUGUUAUCAGAGAACCUGGACGUUAUUGACUGCUUCCCCUUUUCAAGUCAACAAAGAAAUCACAUCCGUGCGAAUUUAACUCGCUCUCUCCUCAGCCUCGCUGAGUGGCUUUGAUGUUUCUCCGUCUCCCCCCUCUGUCUACCUGCCUGCCUGGGUGGAGGUGGAGGUGGAGGUGUAGCGGUAAUGUGAUGCAGGGAAGCGAUCGGAGCGAGACGGAGCUCUGACAGAGAACCCAGGUUCACACCAGAGCGCCUGAUGCUGCUCGCUCACAAGCACUGACAUGGGCACGCAGAAACCCCACACAGAUUCCUAGAUGAAACUGUUGGAUGACUGGUCAGAGUUUUGUGGAUGCGUUUAUGGAAAAUCCAGCCCCAACUCCUCAACCACCAGAAGUCGGUUGUUCAGCCAGAGAGCAGGAUGGAACACCAGGAGGGGUUUCCCAGGAGCUCGGCUCGGUGGGAACCAUGGAUCAUGUAGAGUCUGUCCCAAAACCACACGACUGCACGUCGACAGGUUGACUUCAGACUUGACAUGCUGGACCGUUAAUUUAGGGAAGCAACCACCCCCCUUCUUGGCUGUCUGACCGUGACAUUUGCUGCAGUCCUCCUGAGCAUCGCACUAACACCGAGGGUGGAACAUGGUAGCAGGCUGCUGUUAAAGGAGAAUGUUGUCAACCACCUGGGUGGCCCUGGCCCUGCCUUCUAGACACAAAUCCUCCUCAGAGCUGCAGCUACAAGUUUCCAAGCUUCCGCCUCACAGAGCAGCCUUUUCCAACGACUCCCCCCCACUCAGUACCUUCAGACUAGCCAGCAGCAAUUAGGAAACACCUGGUGGAACGGCACAUCUGCUGAGCUUAUUACAGUAGCUGCUGCUCAGUGCAACACUGAUUAAAAAGUGUAGUUAAAGGGUUAAUGAUAAAGACUCCCAAAGAUCAGAUUGUCGAUCUGUGGCCAGAAAACUUUCCACAUUUUGACUCGUGUCUCAUAUUUCACAUUUGCUAAUCAAGAUUAUUUAACCUAUGGGAUAGUUGUUGUUUUUUUAGUGUGUCAUAAGAACUUAACAUUUGCGUCACUGCCCACACCUUCUGCCAUGAAUAUGCUCAUCUGCUCUUUAGCUACAGAGUGACAUUAUGAAAUGUCAGAGUAAGCCAUGCUGAAAAUGUUAAUGUGAUUUAAUUGUUGAAAACAGUUUGGAAAAAUUGGACUGCUGCUAUGUUUUCACACAUCAACGUGGCAGUAACUACAACACGCUUUGAUUCUUUGCAGUUAUUCCAAGAUCAGAGCGACCAAUCAAAGCAAGUCAUUGUGUUGUGUGGGUCCACUUUAAUGAGAUUACAUAGCUGGCAGCCAGGAAGCAAUUAAGUGGAAUCAAUUAAUUUAGGUGGCAAAAUGCACUCUGAAAGCUUUUGUGAAGUAUCUAUUAAAGACUGUAAGCGUGCUUCACUUGUGAUUGGCUUCCCUCACCUCCACCUUCUCCUGUUCUUGAUGAAAACAUCCACACUUAGGAUUUCCACUUUUGCUCAGCGGUAAAAGAAAGAAAUCACAAAUCUUGAUUUUAAAAAUUAAUCAGCCACACGCGAUUCUUAUUUUUAUUCUGCAUUUUUAUACUUUGUUUGUAUUGUGUGAACUUUUGUCCUGUAUGACGUUUUCCAUCCAUCCUUCCGUUAUCUUACACACUU
Long non-coding RNA from Gambusia affinis (western mosquitofish), 1780 nucleotides. RefSeq lists it as uncharacterized. The record is from RefSeq and is a predicted model, not a curated record. The transcript is spliced from 4 exons. NCBI's taxonomy places the organism in Eukaryota, Metazoa, Chordata, Actinopteri, Cyprinodontiformes, Poeciliidae.